CCAGUCUAGUAUUGCAAUUGCAGGGGAAACCCCGAUCCCCGUCAAAGGCGUUGUUCCUGGACUGGGCCUUUUUAUUUCCGUUUGUAACCCAGACGUAUCUGGACGUCAAUUUUUUUCCUUCGAUUUUGUUGUUGUAUCCAGCCAAAAGGACGGUCCUGCAGCAGAUAUGGACAACAAGAAAUCACUGCUAUGGAUGUGUGUGUUAUUGCUGACCUGUCCAAAGAUGGCUGGGGGUGGUCCGAUUUGUUAUGUCUCUUGUAUGAGUGUGAUUGGCAUUGGGGGUGUGACACUAGGUGCUGCUGUUCUCCCUCUACUGGGCUUCACAUCAUCUGGAAUUGCAGCAGGAUCUUGGGCAGCUUGGAUAAUGUCCUGGUAUGGUGGUGCGGUGCCUGCUGGCAGCUUGUUUGCAAUCUUGCAGUCAGCUGGAGCGAGUGGGGGCUUUUCAUUGUCAUGGGCUUCAUUUGGAGGAAUAUCGGGCUUUUGUACUGCUCUCUGUGCCCCUUUUCCAUAGUUUCAACAAGAGAAAACACAGGGAAGGCCCUAUCAGUUAGUUUUUACCACACCAAAAAAGGCACCCACUUAUCCUGACAAACUCAGCUCAUUUUGAAAUAGGCACACAUGGGUAUAAUUGAAGUUACUUUGAAAACAUCAUUUAGCUAUAUUUAAAGGGAAAAAUGCACUAAAAAUCUCAUGCAAUUCAACCAGUGCUCCAUAUUCAAACAAAUUGAGAAACAGUUUAGAGACUGAGAACAUUUUAAGAAUGAAGAAAUAAUCUUCAGCAGUUUUUCUUGCAGACAUUUUUGCUGCAGUGCUUCUUCUUCUUGUAUGUUUUAUUUCAGAUAGUAUUCAUUCACAUUUGUUUUGCGCUUAUGAUUUGCAUCGUCUGUGUGGAAGUUUUGUGCCUGUAGAAUAUUCUCUACCUGUACUGAAUAUUCAAUAUUUAGCAUUCAAUAUUUGAAACUUUGCUGAUGCGAACUUUGAACAAUGGUUUUACAGGUUAUGGUUGUUAUGGCUUUAUCACAGAAUGAAGAUAUUAAUGAAAUAUUAAGUGCUUGACAGUGCAAUUACUUUAUCCCAAACAAAUUAGUUAAUGGGGUAUUUUAAACAGCCUUGUUUAACCUUUGAACAUUUUCUACCGAUCGCAUUUUGCAGUACUGUUGUGGUCAGCUGAGUGGAGUAGGUACAGCUUCAGACUUUGUAAGAGCUGUCACAAGCAGACUUUGGUAUGUGUCUAAAUUUACUGUCUUGAUCGCAUUUAAUUGAGAGACAUCUCAAGGAGUCUAUGUCUCAAAUAGCCAAGAGAUUACUUACAUUAAAAAGAAAUUCUCUAUCAGAAAUGUAUCAAUUCUUACAUGUUCAGUCUCAAGUAAAUCACAAGUCAGUACAUUGGUCUGGUCACAAGUGACAGAAAAUGAACCAAAACAAAGGACUACCUUUGUCACAUUUCACUUGAAUAGCUUGCGACGACUUGACUCAAGACUAGGCAACUUAUGAUGUACUUGUGAUGGACAUGUGAAGAUAUGGGAGUACAGGGAUUUGAUACAAAACUGAGUAUGCUCCGACACCUCAACCCGAUUCAUUAUUUAAUGCUUCAUUUGACAAUUAUUGUAUUCAACGCUCAGAAACAUUUUGGAUUUCUCACUGACCCAGUACUCUAACUAUUUUCAGCUUUUAUUUAAAUCAAAGAAGCCCAUAUUGUAGAGGCAAUUUUUGAGAAGUUACCAAAACCCAUUAAAAUUGUCCUGGCAGGUACAAGUGACAACCUAGUUCACAAGUAACAGGGUAAAAAAAUCAAAGGAAUGUAUUUGCCAAAGUUCAUUUGAAAAAUAAGUGUUAGCACUUUCCUUAUGAAAAGAUGAAAUUCAGAUUAUUUUAGAGUUCUACACAUCUUUUAAAUACAUUAAGGAAGAUCUUCUGAUCUUCUGUGCAGUAAAUGGUAAUUUCUUAGCAUUAUGCCGGGAACCUCCAUAAAUCAUUGCACUGUAAGCGUAAAUGAUGUCCUCAACAAUUAUAAUCUGGACUCUUGUCUUGGCUAAACAAUGCAAGGUAUUUCAAAAUCAUUCAGAGUUGUUAGAUUUUGAAGGGUUUGGGAUUGUCAGAGUUUAUUGUUUUGCCCACAUUAUAAUAAACUUGAUAAAGAAAUCGGGAAGUUGACAACUGUAUAACAUUACAAUCUGGAUAUGUAAAUCACAAAUGGUUUAUGUGGAAAUACCCAGAUCUUGGAAACAACUAGGAAACUUUCUCUCGUUUGAUUUGAAUACUAAAUAACUUCCAGAUAACCAACAACCUUUGACAUAUACACAGAAAUAAAUCUAUCAGGUAUAAAAAUAGUAGAUAAA
Molecule: long non-coding RNA, 2339 nt
Organism: Acanthaster planci (crown-of-thorns starfish)
Lineage: Eukaryota; Metazoa; Echinodermata; Asteroidea; Valvatida; Acanthasteridae
Source: RefSeq, a predicted model, not a curated record